GAUGAACGCUGGCGGCGUGCCUAAUACAUGCAAGUCGAGCGAACGGACGAGAAGCUUGCUUCUCUGAUGUUAGCGGCGGACGGGUGAGUAACACGUGGAUAACCUACCUAUAAGACUGGGAUAACUUCGGGAAACCGGAGCUAAUACCGGAUAAUAUUUUGAACCGCAUGGUUCAAAAGUGAAAGACGGUCUUGCUGUCACUUAUAGAUGGAUCCGCGCUGCAUUAGCUAGUUGGUAAGGUAACGGCUUACCAAGGCAACGAUGCAUAGCCGACCUGAGAGGGUGAUCGGCCACACUGGAACUGAGACACGGUCCAGACUCCUACGGGAGGCAGCAGUAGGGAAUCUUCCGCAAUGGGCGAAAGCCUGACGGAGCAACGCCGCGUGAGUGAUGAAGGUCUUCGGAUCGUAAAACUCUGUUAUUAGGGAAGAACAUAUGUGUAAGUAACUGUGCACAUCUUGACGGUACCUAAUCAGAAAGCCACGGCUAACUACGUGCCAGCAGCCGCGGUAAUACGUAGGUGGCAAGCGUUAUCCGGAAUUAUUGGGCGUAAAGCGCGCGUAGGCGGUUUUUUAAGUCUGAUGUGAAAGCCCACGGCUCAACCGUGGAGGGUCAUUGGAAACUGGAAAACUUGAGUGCAGAAGAGGAAAGUGGAAUUCCAUGUGUAGCGGUGAAAUGCGCAGAGAUAUGGAGGAACACCAGUGGCGAAGGCGACUUUCUGGUCUGUAACUGACGCUGAUGUGCGAAAGCGUGGGGAUCAAACAGGAUUAGAUACCCUGGUAGUCCACGCCGUAAACGAUGAGUGCUAAGUGUUAGGGGGUUUCCGCCCCUUAGUGCUGCAGCUAACGCAUUAAGCACUCCGCCUGGGGAGUACGACCGCAAGGUUGAAACUCAAAGGAAUUGACGGGGACCCGCACAAGCGGUGAAGCAUGUGGUUUAAUUCGAAGCAACGCGAAGAACCUUACCAAAUCUUGACAUCCUUUGACAACUCUAGAGAUAGAGCUUUCCCCUUCGGGGGACAAAGUGACAGGUGGUGCAUGGUUGUCGUCAGCUCGUGUCGUGAGAUGUUGGGUUAAGUCCCGCAACGAGCGCAACCCUUAAGCUUAGUUGCCAUCAUUAAGUUGGGCACUCUAAGUUGACUGCCGGUGACAAACCGGAGGAAGGUGGGGAUGACGUCAAAUCAUCAUGCCCCUUAUGAUUUGGGCUACACACGUGCUACAAUGGACAAUACAAAGGGCAGCGAAACCGCGAGGUCAAGCAAAUCCCAUAAAGUUGUUCUCAGUUCGGAUUGUAGUCUGCAACUCGACUACAUGAAGCUGGAAUCGCUAGUAAUCGUAGAUCAGCAUGCUACGGUGAAUACGUUCCCGGGUCU
RNAcentral lists this ribosomal RNA (1372 nucleotides) under uncultured bacterium. Its description in RNAcentral is "bacterial SSU rRNA". It matches the Rfam family "Bacterial small subunit ribosomal RNA", at positions 28 to 1381 of the family's 1533-position model. The record is from RNAcentral.